UACGUAGGGUGCAAGCGUUGUCCGGAAUUAUUGGGCGUAAAGAGCUCGUAGGCGGUUUGUCACGUCGGAUGUGAAAACUCGGGGCUCAACCCCGAGCCUGCAUUCGAUACGGGCAGACUUGAGUUCGGCAGGGGAGACUGGAAUUCCUGGUGUAGCGGUGGAAUGCGCAGAUAUCAGGAGGAACACCGGUGGCGAAGGCGGGUCUCUGGGCCGAUACUGACGCUGAGGAGCGAAAGCGUGGGGAGCGAACAGG
This 253-nucleotide ribosomal RNA is filed under the name uncultured bacterium. Its description in RNAcentral is "partial 16S ribosomal RNA". It matches the Rfam family "Bacterial small subunit ribosomal RNA", at positions 524 to 776 of the family's 1533-position model. The record is from RNAcentral.